UACGAAGGGGGCGAGCGUUGUUCGGAAUUAUUGGGCGUAAAGAGCUCGUAGGCGGUUUGUCGCGUCUGCUGUGAAAAUCCGGGGCUCAACCCCGGACUUGCGGUGGGUACGGGCAGACUAGAGUGUGGUAGGGGAGACUGGAAUUCCUGGUGUAGCGGUGAAAUGCGCAGAUAUCAGGAGGAACACCGAUGGCGAAGGCAGGUCUCUGGGCCACUACUGACGCUGAGAAGCGAAAGCGUGGGGAGCGAACAGG
RNAcentral lists this ribosomal RNA (253 nucleotides) under uncultured bacterium. RNAcentral describes it as "partial 16S ribosomal RNA". It matches the Rfam family "Bacterial small subunit ribosomal RNA", at positions 524 to 776 of the family's 1533-position model. The record is from RNAcentral.